ACUUCUUUAGUAUAAUUAAUACCAAUAGCUUCCAAUUAUUAAACCUAAGUUAAAAUCUUAGAAGAAGUA
RNAcentral lists this transfer RNA (69 nucleotides) under Idiocranium cf. russeli BMNH 2008.409. RNAcentral's name for it is "tRNA-Gly". It matches the Rfam family "tRNA". Rfam says of the family: Transfer RNA (tRNA) molecules are approximately 80 nucleotides in length. The record is from RNAcentral. Lineage: Eukaryota; Metazoa; Chordata; Amphibia; Gymnophiona; Indotyphlidae.